GAUGAACGCUGGCGGCGUGCCUAAUACAUGCAAGUCGAGCGAACAGACGAGGAGCUUGCUCCUCUGACGUUAGCGGCGGACGGGUGAGUAACACGUGGAUAACCUACCUAUAAGACUGGGAUAACUUCGGGAAACCGGAGCUAAUACCGGAUAAUAUAUUGAACCGCAUGGUUCAAUAGUGAAGGACGGUUUUGCUGUCACUUGUAGAUGGAUCCGCGCCGCAUUAGCUAGUUGGUAAGGUAACGGCUUACCAAGGCAACGAUGCGUAGCCGACCUGAGAGGGUGAUCGGCCACACUGGAACUGAGACACGGUCCAGACUCCUACGGGAGGCAGCAGUAGGGAAUCUUCCGCAAUGGGCGAAAGCCUGACGGAGCAACGCCGCGUGAGUGAUGAAGGUCUUCGGAUCGUAAAACUCUGUUAUUAGGGAAGAACAAAUGUGUAAGUAACUAUGCACGUCUUGACGGUACCUAAUCAGAAAGCCACGGCUAACUACGUG
Molecule: ribosomal RNA, 497 nt
Filed under: uncultured bacterium
Lineage: Bacteria
Description: partial 16S ribosomal RNA
Rfam family: Bacterial small subunit ribosomal RNA
Source: RNAcentral